CCGUAGGUGAACCUGCGGAAGGAUCAUUGACGAGCCCCGAAACGACCGUGAACCUGUGAGCGUGCCAUCAUGCGCGGGAUGGUGUCGGCGUGCUUCGCGCGCCGCAUCCUCCGCCUCUCAAAACCCCCCAAGGCGCUGCGCGCCAAGGAAACGAACGAUGAGGAUCGGUUGGAGUGAAAUCCUCCGUUCCUUGAGGUGGUGCGCGACGAGCGGACCGAAUACGCACAAAAGAGUGUUGAAACGACUCUCGGCAACGGAUAUCUUGGUUCUCGCAUCGAUGAAGAACGUAGCGAAAUGCGAUACUUGGUGUGAAUUGCAGAAUCCCGUGAACCAUCGAGUCUUUGAACGCAAGUUGCGCCCGAGGCGAUUCCGCCAAGGGCACGCCUGCCUGGGCGUCACGCAUCGUGUCGCUCCCCCCUUGCAUCGUCGUCGUCCACCCCGGUGUGAUGCGCGUCGAUGCACGUGGCCGCGGACGUUGGCCCCCCGUGCGCUCGCUCGCUCGGCCGGCCUAAAUGAGUCGCGUUCCGGUGUCAUCGGGCGCCAUGAGCAAUGGUGGUUGCCUUUGUCGGCUUCGCAUGCCGUGGCGCAUCGAUGAACACCCGCGGAACUGGCGGUGGAUCGUCCUUCGUGGCGAGGCGUUAGCUUAGGCUCGCCGCAUCGACCGCGACCCCAGGUCAGGCGGGACUACCCGCUGAGUUU
This 699-nucleotide ribosomal RNA is filed under the name Utricularia foliosa. Its description in RNAcentral is "eukaryotic LSU rRNA". The stretch from base 243 to 398 matches the Rfam family "5.8S ribosomal RNA". Lineage: Eukaryota; Viridiplantae; Streptophyta; Magnoliopsida; Lamiales; Lentibulariaceae. The record is from RNAcentral.